This 440-nucleotide ribosomal RNA is filed under the name uncultured bacterium. RNAcentral describes it as "partial 16S ribosomal RNA". It matches the Rfam family "Bacterial small subunit ribosomal RNA", at positions 339 to 795 of the family's 1533-position model. The record is from RNAcentral.
CUACGGGACGCACCAGUGAGGAAUAUUGCACAAUGGGGGGAACCCUGAUGCAGCAACGCCGCGUGGAGGAUGACGCAUUUCGGUGUGUAAACUCCUUUUAUAUGUCAAGAAAAUGACGGUAGCAUAUGAAUAAGCACCGGCUAGACUCCGUGCCAGCAGCCGCGGUAAUACGGAGGGUGCAAGCGUUACUCGGAAUCACUGGGCGUAAAGGACGCGUAGGCGGGUUGGAAAGUCAGGUGUGAAAUCCUACAGCUUAACUGUAGAACUGCACUUGAAACUUCUAAUCUAGAGUAUGGGAGGGGGAGAUGGAAUUAGUGGUGUAGGGGUAAAAUCCGUAGAUAUCACUAGGAAUACCUAAAGCGAAGGCGAUCUCCUGGAACAUUACUGACGCUAAGGCGUGAAAGCGUGGGGAGCAAACAGGAUUAGAUACCCCCGUAGUC